AUUGAACGCUGGCGGCAGGCUUAACACAUGCAAGUCGAGCGGAGUGAUGGUGCUUGCUCUGUCACUUAGCGGCGGACGGGUGAGUAAUGCUUAGGAAUCUGCCUAUUAGUGGGGGACAACAUCUCGAAAGGGAUGCUAAUACCGCAUACGUCCUACGGGAGAAAGCAGGGGAUCACUUGUGACCUUGCGCUAAUAGAUGAGCCUAAGUCGGAUUAGCUAGUUGGGGGGGUAAAGGCCUACCAAGGCGACGAUCUGUAGCGGGUCUGAGAGGAUGAUCCGCCACACUGGGACUGAGACACGGCCCAGACUCCUACGGGAGGCAGCAGUGGGGAAUAUUGGACAAUGGGGGGAACCCUGAUCCAGCCAUGCCGCGUGUGUGAAGAAGGCCUUAUGGUUGUAAAGCACUUUAAGCGAGGAGGAGGCUCUUUUGGUUAAUACCCAAGAUGAGUGGACGUUACUCGCAGAAUAAGCACCGGCUAACUCUGUGCCAGCAGCCGCCGUAA
This 503-nucleotide ribosomal RNA is filed under the name uncultured bacterium. Its description in RNAcentral is "partial 16S ribosomal RNA". It matches the Rfam family "Bacterial small subunit ribosomal RNA", at positions 30 to 523 of the family's 1533-position model. The record is from RNAcentral.